GUGGGGAAUAUUGGACAAUGGGGGGAACCCUGAUCCAGCCAUGCCGCGUGUGUGAAGAAGGCCUUUUGGUUGUAAAGCACUUUAAGCGAGGAGGAGGCUACCGAGAUUAAUACUCUUGGAUAGUGGACGUUACUCGCAGAAUAAGCACCGGCUAACUCUGUGCCAGCAGCCGCGGUAAUACAGAGGGUGCAAGCGUUAAUCGGAUUUACUGGGCGUAAAGCGCGUGUAGGUGGCCAAUUAAGUCAAAUGUGAAAUCCCCGAGCUUAACUUGGGAAUUGCAUUCGAUACUGGUUGGCUAGAGUAUGGGAGAGGAUGGUAGAAUUCCAGGUGUAGCGGUGAAAUGCGUAGAGAUCUGGAGGAAUACCGAUGGCGAAGGCAGCCAUCUGGCCUAAUACUGACACUGAGGUGCGAAAGCAUGGGGAGCAAACAGGAUUAGAUACCCCAGUAGUCC
Molecule: ribosomal RNA, 451 nt
Filed under: uncultured bacterium
Lineage: Bacteria
Description: partial 16S ribosomal RNA
Rfam family: Bacterial small subunit ribosomal RNA
Source: RNAcentral